RNAcentral lists this ribosomal RNA (255 nucleotides) under Salmonella enterica subsp. enterica serovar Mbandaka. RNAcentral's name for it is "partial 23S ribosomal RNA". It matches the Rfam family "Bacterial large subunit ribosomal RNA", at positions 1436 to 1693 of the family's 2925-position model. The record is from RNAcentral. RNAcentral also lists the same sequence under 1 other name. Lineage: Bacteria; Pseudomonadati; Pseudomonadota; Gammaproteobacteria; Enterobacterales; Enterobacteriaceae.
UUCCUGUACUUGGUGUUACUGCGAAGGGGGGACGGAGAAGGCUAUGUUGGCCGGGCGACGGUUGUCCCGGUUUAAGCGUGUAGGCUGGUUUUCCAGGCAAAUCCGGAAAAUCAAGGCUGAGGCGUGAUGACGAGGCACUACGGUGCUGAAGCAACAAAUGCCCUGCUUCCAGGAAAAGCCUCUAAGCAUCAGGUAACAUCAAAUCGUACCCCAAACCGACACAGGUGGUCAGGUAGAGAAUACCAAGGCGCUUGA